Podarcis lilfordi (Lilford's wall lizard) is the source of this 75-nucleotide non-coding RNA. The record is from the annotation of a GenBank genome assembly. NCBI's taxonomy places the organism in Eukaryota, Metazoa, Chordata, Lepidosauria, Squamata, Lacertidae.
GCUGUAGCCCAGUGGCAGGGCAUCUGCCUUGCAUGCAGAAGAUCCCAGACUGAGAUAGAUUCCCUGGCUGAAAUC